GGAGCUGUUAUAUGGGCACGGUGGCGUAGCGGUGAGCACGUCCGCCUCGCACUUCCUGGUUCUGAGGUUCGGAUCCCGUCUCCACCCUGUGUGCACGGCGUUUACGUGUCCUGCACGUUUUUCAUGGGGUUUCCUCUUCACGGUCCACAGACACGCGUUAUAGGCUGAUCGGCAUUUCCGAAAUGUCUGUGAGGGUGUCCGGGGUGACCCCCAGUUCCCUCGGACAGGCUCCAGGUUCCCCGCGGCACCGUGUCGGAUAAGCGGAUGCGUGGAUGGUUCGGACGUGCCUCCUGUCGGUCCUUUUAUUUAUAGACACUGGGGGCGGAGCUUUGUGAACACGGGCGGUAAUCUCGCCGAAUGCAGCUUUUAAUAUAGAUCCUGUUUAUAUUAACGAUCUCGAACAUCGGCGUCUAGACGGAUCGGCGUCCAGACGGAUCCACGUCCUGCGCCUUUAAGCGGAUGCGUUUUAUUUUCAGGUCUUCCCGAAUUCGCUUCGGUCAUCGGCCGGGUGUGAUCAGGACUCGAUCUGGUGAUCUCGGAGGGAGCGCUUUUCUCUCGCGCCGCUCAGGAGGUUGUGCUCCGGCUUCCUGUCAGGGUUAAUCGGAGAACGUUCCGUGAAACGAUUCCGCAACGCCGUCCGUCACACGCUCGGACGUUUGGAGCAGCAGAUGAACUCUCUGAUGCUACCUGUUAGCCUGUGACACCUGCUUGAGGAGACUGCGACCCCCCCCCCUCCCCUCCCCCCCAGACACACACAAUGUCUGGGCUACAGACACCAUGGCCGCCGGGCACGGAGUGUGUGGCUAAGUAUAACUUCCAGGGCACCACAGAGCAGGAUCUGCCCUUCUGUAAAGGAGACGUCCUC
Long non-coding RNA from Ictalurus punctatus (channel catfish), 865 nucleotides. Lineage: Eukaryota; Metazoa; Chordata; Actinopteri; Siluriformes; Ictaluridae. The record is from Ensembl.